This is a long non-coding RNA of Exaiptasia diaphana, 714 nucleotides long. RefSeq lists it as uncharacterized. The record is from RefSeq and is a predicted model, not a curated record. The transcript has 2 exons. Lineage: Eukaryota; Metazoa; Cnidaria; Anthozoa; Actiniaria; Aiptasiidae.
CCAUCUAUCAGCCAUUGAUCAGGGACAGUCAGAUCCAGGACAACAACACAGGGAUCCCAGAAUACGUAACACUUGUAAAUGAUGAUGGUAAAUGCAGUAAUAAUCAAGCAAUUCCAGAAUAUCUGGCAAUAAUACCUGAUCAACCCAUGAGCCAAUCACCACCAUCACUUGAAUAYGACUACGCAGCACCUGAUGGUCRACAAAGUCCAGCUCUAAAGAGGCCUGGAAAUAAGGGGCUGCCACAACCACCAGGAAAUAGUCCCAGAUCAAUCCAAUCCCCUGUAUAUGACAUUCUUGAACAACCAACUCAUUAUACUGAGAAUGAAUAUUUAGCCCCCAUUGAUGGCUUUAUUUCAGAGAAAUGAGGGAAUCAAGGUCAGUUUAUGAUCAGUUCAAACAUUCAAUUAAGUCAACAGAAUUUAUGUAGUUAUGAUUUUACUACAUGAAUUUGAAUUCUGGAACAGUUUGCAAUAAUGAUGAUGAUGAAAAGAUAGAAUAUAUUGCCACUGAUCAUAGUUCCUAACUAUAUGGACUGAUGUAUUUUGUAAAUCGAAUAGAUCUCAGAAUAUCUGUUGACUAAAGAACUUUAUAUCAAGACAUUUAUAAGAAUAUUUUUUAUCGUUUUUUACUCUCACUGUAAAUUAAAUGAAUAUAUUUUUUCAUGUAAUACUUUAAUGUGACUCCAUUUAGAUAAUAAAAUUAUCAUUAUUACAA